AAAGUUACUAAGGGCAUACGGUGGAUGCCUUGGUACGAGAAGCAGACGAAGGACGCGGCUACCUGCGAUAAGCUACGGAUAGUUGGAAGCAAACUAAGACCCGUAGAUUUCCGAAUGGGGCAACCCGUCACGAGUAAUGUCGUGACACCGGCAUCUGAAUAAAUAGGAUGCACGGAGACAACCUGGGGAACUGAAACAUCUAAGUACCCAGUGGAAGAGAAAACAAUAGUGAUUUCCUGAGUAGUGGCGAGCGAAAGGGAAACAGCCUAAACCGACCAACAUGUUAAAGGCAGCAACCGUUGUGUUGGCGGUGUCGUGGGAUGUUUUUGGAGAUAAUUGCUGAAAUCUCGAAGAGUAAAAAAUUAUAUUGUUAGUUGAAUGUUCUGGAAAGUUCAUCCAUAGAAGGUGAUAGACCUGUAAGCGAAAACAAUGUAACUCUUUGAAAAGCAUUCCCAAGUAGUGCGGAGUAAGUGGAAUUCUGUAUGAAUCCGGGAGAACCAUCUCCUAAGGCUAAAUACUCUCUCGUAACCGAUAGCGCAGCAGUACCGUGAGGGAAAGGUGAAAAGUACCCUUAUUAAGGGAGUGAAAUAGUACCUGAAACCGUAUGCUUACAAGCAGUUGGAGCCUCGACUUGUCGGGGUGACAGCGUGCCUUCUGGAUAAUGAGCCAACGAGUUACUCGUAUGUUGCAAGGUUAAUGACUUAAGGUCAGGAGCCAUAGCGAAAGCAAGUCCUAAUCGGGCGAUUAAGUAACAUGCGGUAGACGCGAAACCGGGUGAUCUAUCCUUGUCCAGGAUGAAGCCCCGAUAAAACGGGGUGGAGGUCCGAACUAGUGUGGGUUGAAAACCGCUUGGAUGAGAUGAGGAUAGGGGUGAAAGGCUAAUCAAACUCGGAAAUAGCUCGUAUUCCUCGAAAUAGCUUUAGGGCUAGCCUCGAGUAAAAGUAUGUAGGAGGUAGAGCACUGAUUGGGCUAGGGCUGUCACAACGGUACCAAACCCAGACAAACUCCGAAUUCCUAUCAUAUGUUUCUCGGGAGUCAGGCAGUGAGGGAUAAGCUCCAUUGCCAAAAGGGAAACAACCCAGACCAUCAACUAAGGUCCCCAAAUAGUAGUUAACAGAGAAAGGAUGUUGAGUUGCUUAGACAACUAGGAUGUUGGCUUAGAAGCAGCCAUUCAUUUAAAGAGUGCGUAAUAGCUCACUAGUCAAGCGACUCGGCGUCGACAAUUCCCGGGACUUAAACUACUUACCGAAGUUAUGGGCUUUCAAUUAAUUGAAAGCGGUAGAGGAACAUUCUGUUUGCAUUGAAGGUGUGGUGUGAGCCAUGCUGGAGCGUACAGAAAAGCAAAUGUUGGCAUUAGUAACGAUAAAUACUGUGAAAAACAGUAUCACCGAAAGUCUAAGGUUUCCUGAGCAACGUUAGUCGUCUCAGGGUAAGUCGAAUCCUAAGCCGAGGCUGAAAGGCGUAGGCGAUGGUAAACAGGUUAAUAUUCCUGUACCUGGUAUGUAUCGUUUGACUGUAAGGAGUGACGCAGGAGUGAAGGUCAGCCACCUGUUGGAUUAGGUGGUCUAAGCAUGUAGGCGGAGAAUAUAGGCAAAUCCGUAUUCUCUUACGCCGAGGUGUGACGGGGAGUCCGUAGGACAUAAACUGACCGUAAUCAUACUGCCGAGAAAAUCUUCGUACAGGAGAUCCAUAUCAGAUCGUACCGCAAACCGACACAGGUAGACGGGAUGAGUAUUCUAAGGUGCUCGAGUGAGCCGUGGUUAAGGAACUCGGCAAAUUAACCCCGUAACUUCGGGAAAAGGGGUGCCUCGAGUAGGUGAGGGUCUUCGCGACCUGAGCUGAAAGAGGCCGCAGAGAAAUGGCCCAAGCGACUGUUUAACAAAAACAUAUGUCUCUGCUAAGUCAAUCAAGACGAUGUAUAGGGACUGACACCUGCCCGGUGCUGGAAGGUUAAGAGGAGAGGUCAGCGCAAGCGAAGCUUUGAAUCGAAGCCCCAGUAAACGGCGGCCGUAACUAUAACGGUCCUAAGGUAGCGAAAUUCCUUGUCGGGUAAGUUCCGACCUGCACGAAUGGUGUAACGAUUUGGGCACUGUCUCAACCACGGGCUCGGUGAAAUUGUGGUACCGGUGAAGACGCCGGUUACCCGCAUAUGGACGGAAAGACCCCGUGCACCUUUACUGCACCCUAAUAUUGGGUUCGGGUAAAGCAUGUGUAGGAUAGGUGGGAGGCUUUGAAGUUGGAGCGCUAGCUUCGAUGGAGCCAACGGUGAAAUACCACCCUUGCUUUGCUUGGAUUCUAACCUCGGCCCAUGAAUCUGGGCUAGGGACAGUGUUAGGCGGGUAGUUUGACUGGGGCGGUCGCCUCCUAAAAUGUAACGGAGGCUCUCAAUGGUUCCCUCAGCAUGGUUGGUAAUCAUGCGGCGAGUGUAAAGGCAAAAGGGAGCUUGACUGCGAGACUUACAAGUCGAGCAGGUGCGAAAGCAGGACUUAGUGAUCCGACGGUAGCGAGUGGAAGUGCCGUCGCUCAAAGGAUAAAAGGUACGCCGGGGAUAACAGGCUGAUCUUACCCAAGAGUUCAUAUCGACGGUAAGGUUUGGCACCUCGAUGUCGGCUCAUCGCAUCCUGGGGCUGAAGAAGGUCCCAAGGGUUUGGCUGUUCGCCAAUUAAAGCGGUACGUGAGCUGGGUUCAGAACGUCGUGAGACAGUUCGGUCCCUAUCCUAUGCGGGCGAAGGAUACUUGAGAAGGGUCGUUUCUAGUACGAGAGGACCGAAACGAACGAACCUCUAUUGCACCAAUUGUCACGCCAGUGGCAUAGUUGGGUAGUUAUGUUCGGUUGUGAUAAGCGCUGAAAGCAUCUAAGCGCGAAGCACGCUUCAAGAUGAGGUAUCCCUCCAUUUAUGGACUAAAGACUCCUUGAAGAUUACAAGGUUGAUAGGCUGCAAGUGUAAGUGCCGUAAGGUAUUCAGCUGAGCAGUACUAAUAAGUCGUGAGACUUUUCCAU
RNAcentral lists this ribosomal RNA (3001 nucleotides) under bioreactor sludge metagenome. RNAcentral describes it as "bacterial LSU rRNA". It matches the Rfam family "Bacterial large subunit ribosomal RNA". The record is from RNAcentral.